Molecule: unclassified non-coding RNA, 340 nt
Filed under: uncultured Nitrospiraceae bacterium
Lineage: Bacteria; Pseudomonadati; Nitrospirota; Nitrospiria; Nitrospirales; Nitrospiraceae
Description: contains 16S-23S intergenic spacer region
Source: RNAcentral
UCCCCGUUAUCCUGGGCAGUCCUUCCAGAGUUCCCGGCAUAACCCGUUGGCAACUGGAGGCAAGGGUUGCGCUCGUUGCGGGACUUAACCCAACACCUCACGGCACGAGCUGACGACAGCCAUGCAGCACCUGUGCUGGCUCCCCUUGCGAGGUCAUCCCCGUUUCCGGUUCUUACCACCAGCAUGUCAAACCUGGGUAAGGUUCUUCGCGUUGCGUCGAAUUGAACCACAUGCACCACCGCUUGUGCGGACCCCCGUCAAUUACUUUGAGUUUCACUCUUGCGAGCGUACUCCCCAGGAUAACGGGGAGGAAGGUGGGGAUGACGUCGACGUCAUAACC